CCUACGGGAGGCAGCAGUGAGGAAUAUUGGUCAAUGGCCGUAAGGCUGAACCAGCCAAGUCGCGUGAAGGAAGAAGGAUCUAUGGUUUGUAAACUUCUUUUAUAGGGGAAUAAAGGUAUCCACGUGUGGAUAUUUGCAUGUACCCUAUGAAUAAGCAUCGGCUAACUCCGUGCCAGCAGCCGCGGUAAUACGGGGGAUGCGAGCGUUAUCCGGAUUUAUUGGGCUUAAGGGGUGCGUAGGUUGGUUUUUAAGUCCGCGGUGAAAGUGUGUGGCUCAACCAUAAAAGUGCCGUUGAAACUGGAAGACUGGGGUGUGUGUGAGGUAGGGGGAAGGCGUGGGGGAGCGGUGAAAGGCAGAGAUA
RNAcentral lists this ribosomal RNA (361 nucleotides) under uncultured bacterium. Its description in RNAcentral is "partial 16S ribosomal RNA". It matches the Rfam family "Bacterial small subunit ribosomal RNA", at positions 338 to 696 of the family's 1533-position model. The record is from RNAcentral.